AACGAACGCUGGCGGCAUGCCUAACACAUGCAAGUCGAACGCUCCGCAAGGGGAGUGGCGCACGGGUGGGUAACACGUGGGAACCUGCCUAUUGGUUCGGAACAACAUUUGGAAACGAACGCUAAUACCGGAUGUCCCCCGAGGGGGAAAGAUUUAUCGCCAAUAGAGGGGCCCGCGUCCGAUUAGGUAGUUGGUGGGGUAAAGGCCUACCAAGCCGACGAUCGGUAGCUGGUCUGAGAGGAUGAUCAGCCACACUGGGACUGAGACACGGCCCAGACUCCUACGGGAGGCAGCAGUGGGGAAUAUUGGACAAUGGGCGGAAGCCUGAUCCAGCAAUGCCGCGUGAGUGAUGAAGGCCUUAGGGUUGUAAAGCUCUUUCGCACGUGACGAUGAUGACGGUAACGUGAGAAGAAGCCCCGGCUAACUUCGUGCCAGCCGCCGCCGUAA
Molecule: ribosomal RNA, 447 nt
Filed under: uncultured bacterium
Lineage: Bacteria
Description: partial 16S ribosomal RNA
Rfam family: Bacterial small subunit ribosomal RNA
Source: RNAcentral